GUGAAGGAUUACCAGCCGAUCUACCGUGGCAACUUGGACUCAAAAACAAUCUCAGAAAAGAGGUACAAGUUGAAGAAGAAAUUCUUCGACUACUGCAAGUCGGAGGCCGGCCUGAACCCGGGUCAAGAAGGUCCGGUAUACGCCUGCUGCAGAGAGGCAUGGCCACACAUCGUCGAGAAGGCCCGCGCUGAUGUUGCUAAUGAGUAGAUCACGGACAAGUACAAUCCAGCCUUUUUCUUUUAUUUCACCAAUAAACAAGUGUAGUUUUCUUUCCCAUUUCUUCCAUCGUCAAUGAUACUCUGUAUCCGAUCUGUUUUUUCAAUUCCUUUUGUCAGUUUAUUUUCUUUUCCUUGAUUUAUAUGAGAUUGUUCUGAUGUAUAUGCCAUGGAGAGUCUGUAUCAUGCAUACACUAGAACAAGAAUUAUCUGCAGUACUUAUAC
Molecule: long non-coding RNA, 440 nt
Filed under: Hordeum vulgare
Lineage: Eukaryota; Viridiplantae; Streptophyta; Magnoliopsida; Poales; Poaceae
Description: long non-coding RNA (HVUL_LNC014999)
Source: RNAcentral